RNAcentral lists this signal recognition particle RNA (265 nucleotides) under marine sediment metagenome. RNAcentral describes it as "Bacterial large signal recognition particle RNA". It matches the Rfam family "Bacterial large signal recognition particle RNA". From Rfam's summary of the family: The signal recognition particle (SRP) is a universally conserved ribonucleoprotein involved in the co-translational targeting of proteins to membranes. Archaeal SRP consists of a 7S RNA and homologues of the eukaryotic SRP19 and SRP54 proteins. In most bacteria, the SRP consists of a 4.5S RNA and the Ffh protein (a homologue of the eukaryotic SRP54 protein). RNAcentral also lists the same sequence under 1 other name. The record is from RNAcentral.
CCGCGCUAGACGGGGAGGUAGCGGUGCCCUGAACCCGCAAUCCGCUAUAGCGGGGUACAACUCCCGUCCGAGGGCAUUUCCCGCCAAGGUCCGCCCUCUGCAAGUGGUGAUGAUGGUCAGGUCCCGCGCAAUGAGCACCUGUGAACCCCGUCAGGCCCGGGAGGGAGCAGCGGUAAGCAGGGACGCUCAUGUGCCGUGGGGUUGCCGGGCAGGAGCUAACUACAGAGGUCACGCUUGGUGGGGAUGUUCGAAGACGGGUGCGCGG